Non-coding RNA from Sus scrofa (pig), 6199 nucleotides. Lineage: Eukaryota; Metazoa; Chordata; Mammalia; Artiodactyla; Suidae. The record is from RefSeq and is a predicted model, not a curated record.
AUGCUGAAAAGUCACCCAUUUAAAAUAAAAUAAUAAAGAAGAAAUUCUCCCUUUAGCUAUCACCCCAACUCACUCUUUUCCUUCCUCACAAUACUUCUGAGCAGAACAUACGCUCACUUCCUUCUCUUCCUUUACUUCCUUACCACAGGCUGCUUCUUCACCUUGUGAAAUCUGGCUUUCACUCUGACCAUCACACUGAACCUGCUACCUCUGAGGUCUCAGGACUUCCUACCUGCUAAACCCUUGGUCCUGUCUAGUCCUCAUCCUCCUCAACCUCUCUAAGCCUUUGACUCUUAAAACCGCUUCCUGCUGUCUCUCUGUCUCUCUGUCUCAGUCUCUCUCUCUCCCAACCCCCUUAGUUCCCCUAUAUUCUGUGUCACUCAAACUUCCUGGUUUUCCCACCUCUCUAAUUCCCUCUUUGGCUGCCUUCUCCACCCCCCACUGAAGAACAGGCAUCCCCAGAGACCUGUGGAUGCUUGCAAGAUCUGGCGCCUGUCUCCCACCUCAUGUGUACCGGGUCCCCAAGCUCACAAGACUCCCGUUAUGUUACACUGACAUUUCUUUCAGUUCCUCUACCGCACCCAGCUCUUAUUGCCUUAGCGCCUCUUCCCUCGACCUGGGAGCUCUUCCCCACCCACCCCACCCUAUUUCCAACUCGACUUCUAGGUCUCAGCUUACUAUCACUUCCUCCAAGUGCGCCCCCACAAAACUAAAUCAAAUUUUCCCUCUUUUCUGUCUUAGAACUCGUGUUUUUUGUCACCUUAUUUCUGCAGUUUAAUUAGAGGCUUUCGUUGUAUGCUGAUUUGCUUACUUAUCUACCUUUCUCUCUAGAGUGUAAAUUCCAUGAGGACAGGAACUGUGUCAGUUUUGUUUACUACCUUAUACUGAGCAUUCAAUUCAGUCCCUUGAACCACAGAUACUAAAUAUUUGUUGAAUGAGGGGAUGGAUGAAUGAAUGAAGUGUUUUCUUCAUGCCAGGCACUAAGGUAUUUCCUCAAUUCUCUUCAUCUCUGCAAGGAUAUAUUAUUACACAGACAAAUCUUUGAGCUUCAGUUGCUUCAUCUGUAAUUUAAGAACAGCCAAACCAAUCUUCCUGGAUUGUUGUAAGAAUUAAAACGCCUGGACACACAGUAAGUCAGUUGGUCCCUAGACUAGAGAGAGCAGCUCCAAAGAAGUAAAGCUGAGCCUAACAGCCUGUGGUUCUUCUGUUCACUAUUAGGAGAUUACUCAGUUCUUAAAAGGAGGCAUCACCAACACUGCUAAGCCAGGCCUAUGGAUGCUGCUAAGCACUGGUCUCCAUGUGUGACGAGGGUGGGUGUGGGGUGUGAGAUGCCACAAAGGAUCUGGCUGGACACCUAGGGCUUGGGAGUGUCAUUAAAAAAAUGCAAGAGAGUUUGGAAGGUUGAUUGGCAGAAGAUUGCUUAAACGAGGAUAGCAAUCCAUUCUUGGUUUGGGGUUGGGGCCUGAAAAGGAACGCAGGACCAAGACAAAGUAGAACACAUAGUCAAAAGGCCAAACAAUUCCUUCUGACAGGAAGGAUGCCCUGCCUUGUCAUUUCUUCUCUGAAAACACGCUGGGAAUGGUGUGGGCAAUGUAACAUAUCCUUCCACAGCCCAUGGGAAGAUGUUCUUUCUCGAGAAUAGUUGUCCCCCAGACACCCUCUUUCUGUUCACCUGUGAUAAGAUGUUCUUUUCUGGAGGCUGUUUAGGUAGAGGCUACCAAAACAUUUGGCUUUGCCUCUGCCUUAAUCUGAGCAGGGAGGGUUAAUUGUCUCAAAUCUUGAAUUUAGAACAUUUAUGACUAAUUAAUCCAUGGUCUCCAAAAUUGGGGGCUUUUUUACUUCUUCAUACUCAGCUGUGUCUUUUCCAUCCCCAUCCUAAAUCCCAGCAACUUAGGGAAGAGUUGGGUCCCAACAAAUGAGAUUCACUGUCCAUGCCUUUAUGGUAAGUCACUACUGGCUUUUGCCUACUCUUUUUGCCAAAACCUGCAUGCCCCCUUUCAUAUUUUAUGUAUGAGAGAUUAUAUAGCAACAUGGGAAAAUAUUUAUAACAUAAUAUUAAAUUGAAAAGAUGGCGAUAUAAAAAUUGCAUGUAAAUAUGAUUCUGGCAAUGUAAAAACGAAAACAAAAAAUACACACGCACAUACAAGGAAAAUAAAUCUGGAAGAAAACAAACCAAAUAAUUAGUAAUGAUUAUCUUAGAGUACUAGGAUUGUGGAUUACUUCUUAUUCUUUAUUUUCCCCUAAUUUUUUUUAUGUAAUGGAAAAUGCUUUUAUAAAUAAGAAACAGACUUAUUAAGGUAAGGCAAAAUUAAUAACAAAGCUUGAUAAGACAAAUAAAACAAGAAAGCUAGUUGUAGAUAAGAUUUUCUGGAAAUAAAUAUACAUAGCUCUCAACCCAGUGUCUGUGGACUGAUGGAGAAAUACAACCACAGAACUCUUGUGGAAGGCAGUUAACCACAUGUCACCCUGUCUACUUUAAGAAUGACCAAGAAGAACAACACAAGACUUCAGACCUGCUGGGCAUUUGAGAAGAGCCGCGGAGCUUGGAGUCCAGGCACAUUAGAGGUUUGGGGGCUAUAAAGACACUGUGAAGAAGUUACUAAAUUUGGGGAUUUCCGGGAAGUGCUUCAAGCAUGACAUGGUGAGGCCCUGAUUCUGUUUAUUUUUAGAAGUCUUGUUGAGAGGAGUAUCUUUCACCUCUCAGUAAAUUAACUAUGCUCCUUGGAACCAUGGACAUCUUUCUGCUGUAGCAGCAAUAGGAUCAAAGCACGUGUUUAGAAAGAGAAGUGAAAAACACCAGAUGUGAGCAAAACCACAAGGGGAAUUUCAGACAGGCGGCGCGCACCAGAUUACCCAAUUUGGAAUGCGGCCCAGGCCCCAGGGCAGGCAGACCCUCUGAGGCUCAGGCUGGAAGGACAGAGGUUAUUGAUCCUGAUUUAAGUCAAAUGCCCUUAACUUGAUCCGUGACCUUGCUCCAGCCAUUGACCUCCUCCAAACCACUUUCACCAUCUGUAAAAUGGAAGGACUGCCUCAUUUCCUCUCAGGAAUAAUGAAUGGAAACCAUGCUAAAAACUAGAGGUAAGAAUGAGGCAUGAUCUCAUGAUCUCCUUAAAGACUGGUAGUAAAUUGUAUUUAAAUAUAUAAAUACCACAACAUAUACACAUUUACAGUGCAUGUGGGAAGGAUGUGUGUAAAAAACAUGGGAUUAAAGAUUGUAUAUCAUUUAACAAAGUAAAUAAUCUGUACGUUGACAAUUGCAGGAGGUGUGACAGGAUAUUUUUGGCUUGUCACUAACAGCCCUUUAGGUCUCCUGGGGUCACCCCAGAUCUAGGUACAUAGGGCUGAAGAAAUGUUAGAUUUGGAUACAGCUUAACCUUCAAAUUCCAGCUUCCUCUACCACUUAGUUGUAUGUAAGUUACUCCAUAGGUUUGUACCUUGGUUUUCCCUUCUAUAAAAUGGGGAUAAAACUAAUAUCUACCUCCUAGCCAUGUUGUGAGGAUUAAAUAGAGUAGUAUAAUUAAAGAGCUUAGAAGAGUACUGGGUGGAUAAUAUUAGUUAUUACUAUCCUCCAAAACCUUAAAUGUGGACUUUGAAGCUCUCUGCAUUUCUUUAUUCUUGGUUUUCUCAUCCAAAUGCUUCCCACAUUCCUACUCUGUUCAAAAAUAUUUCCUGUCUUGUUGCUGCGGCUGUGGUGUAGGCCAAUGGCUAUAGCUCCAAUUUGAUCUCUAGCCCGGGAACCACCAUAUGCCAUGGGUGUGGCCCUAAAAAGACAAAAAAAAAAAAAAAAAAAAAAAAAUCCUGUCUUAUUCAUCUAUGUAGGACACUGCUCCUUCCAGACUUUAAACCACUCUAACACCCUCCACCAAAGCCAUGAAUUUAUUCCUAUGCAUACCAUCCUUGGGUCAAUUCCUACAAUGACCUCACAACCAGAAAUCUAUGAAGCAUUACUAUUUUCUCUGUCCUAACUUAACCAGAGGAGGUGUCCCACUACAGAUUUUUUAAAAAUACGUUUUCCUCCUCUUUAGUAGAAGUUGUCAGUCACAGUGUAGACUAAGGAAUCACUGUGGAAUCAGUAAGCAUGGACGUCUUUGAAAGAGCAAAGCGAAGAGUCAUGGGGAUCUGAAACCCCUGCCCAACCCUCUGGAGAGAAAUUGUCAUUGGAGAGAAGAGGGGUGUGGUACUGGAUCCAAGCAGAAGCUGGCAUUCAUCCUAGGAUCAUGCACCCAGGAAGGGGCUGUAUAUGAGAACAGAAAAAUGGGAAAAAUCACGUGAUCAGUGAGAAUUAUGAUAUUAUGGAGACAGAACUGAGUGGAAUGUUAAGGAAUCACUUUCGCUAAAGUACUGGUGUGAAUGGACCCUACUUUGGCACCCCCGGGGUAGCAGAGAGAGGACUCAGACACCACAGCCCUUUCCUGGACAGUGUUUGCUGCGGUUUCACCAGCACUGGCAUCAUUCCUUUCCAUGAGCUCUGUCUACCACCAGCACUGGGGUUUAUCAUACAAUUGUUGUUACUGUCCUUUCCAUUACCACCUUCAAACCACUUAGCCUUUUCUCAUCCCUCCACCACAUACCAUCUUCUAGGGUGUUUUUACCACACUAUUGUAAGAGUCCCUAAAGGUGAUUCAAUUCCAUAGAAAUGUUGGCGCCCCUAUGAUACAAGGCUAAGUCCUAGGGAACACAGAGAUGAGUAAAAUACGGUCACUGCUCUCAAGGAGGUACUAUCACAUGAUUUAGGUAGAUUUAAAUUACUAACUGAUAUUUUCCCCUAUGAUACAAGGCUAAGUCCUAGGGAACACAGAGAUGAGUAAAAUACGGUCACUGCUCUCAAGGAGGUACUAUCACAUGAUUUAGGUAGAUUUAAAUUACUAACUGAUAUUUAAUCCAGUGAUGGCCUAGGCUCCCCUAAUUGUCUUCCCUAUUGCCCUGCCUUGUCCAGUUCCUUUAUUUAACACAUACUUAUUGAGCAUCUUCUGAAGCAUCUACAUGAGGGAAAUAGGCUUGAUGAUAUACCUGGCUGACUACAUAAGGAACAGCUAACUUAGCAUACCUGUCUCUGCUCCUGUAGAGUAAAGGGCACUCCACUAUAUUUUGCUCUCCCAGCCAUGAUACAGUGAUGGUACAGUUGAGACAUGUUAAGGUCUUAUUUUGAGUCCAACUUCAGAGGCACCUGAGAACAGGAGGAAGAAGGACAAAUCUCCUCACAAUGGUGAGGAGCUGGGACCUCCAUGUCCUGUGCUCCUCCCCAAUAUUCUCAUCCUCCCUCUUCUCAGAAAUCAGGUACCCUUCAUACUACUCCUUGAUUCUAUAUGAGUCAGAAUCUUUUAAAUAGAUAAAUAUGAACUAUCUUUGGUUUCUUAAUGAACAGUUCUUCAAUAAUGGAAGGUAAAGUCAAUUAUAUAAAUACUAAGCUUCCAAGGAAAAGAAGGGCUUCAAACAAAAUGUUUUCCUUAUUGGAAGAGGCAUUUAAGAUGAAAGUAAGUAUUAAAUUCCCACUGAUGGCAAUAAAACUACUUCUUAUAAUAUUAAGGUGUACAGCUGACCAAACAAGAGCUGUAAUAAAUCUUAAGUCCUCUGCCCACUCAGAAUAAGACCUCAAGGCAUACAAGAAUGACUCACUGUGACAAACUCAGACAACUAUUGAUUAAUUGUGCUCACAAGGCAGUGUAAGCAUUAUGGAUUGUAUUGGAUUGAUUGGAUUGGAUUGGAUUACUAGCACAAGCAUAAAAUUUGGUAUCAAAUGGUUCUUGGUUCAAAUUUCAGCUCAGGUUCUUCUUUGCCACCUGGGACUGGGGCAAUUUACUUAGCUUCUCUGCCCCUUUAUUUUCUUCAUUUGCAUAAUGCAGAUCAAAAUUUUUACCCAGCAGGGUUUUUUAAAAGUACUAAAUAAAGGGACAUAACUGAAGGUACUAUGCAAAGAGGAGGGACUUGUGAAUUCUCCUUUCGUUUUUUGUUUUUGUUUUUGUUUGCUUUGUUUUGAUGUUUUACAGAUGAGGAACGAAAGCCUGAAGAACUGAUCUAACUUGCUGAGGGCCUGUGAUUAACCAAUGCCAUCCCUAAAGCCACUGACUUCCUGACUUCUAGCCCAGUUGUCUUUCGAUUGGUUCUAUAAUGGGAGUUGAGCAAAGAAAACUGAAAAAGCAUUUAUCUCUGGUUUUCUAAUGGUUGAGAGGGGUGAAAUAAAAAGAGUGGAGGAGGCUGA